RNAcentral lists this ribosomal RNA (495 nucleotides) under Sphingomonas sp. RNAcentral's name for it is "bacterial SSU rRNA". It matches the Rfam family "Bacterial small subunit ribosomal RNA", at positions 86 to 616 of the family's 1533-position model. The record is from RNAcentral. Lineage: Bacteria; Pseudomonadati; Pseudomonadota; Alphaproteobacteria; Sphingomonadales; Sphingomonadaceae.
UCGGGUCUAGUGGCGCACGGGUGCGUAACACGUGGGAAUCUGCCCUUGGGUUCGGAAUAACUCUCCGAAAGGAGUGCUAAUACCGGAUGAUGUCGAAAGACCAAAGAUUUAUCGCCCAGGGAUGAGCCCGCGUAGGAUUAGCUAGUUGGUGAGGUAAAGGCUCACCAAGGCGACGAUCCUUAGCUGGUCUGAGAGGAUGAUCAGCCACACUGGGACUGAGACACGGCCCAGACUCCUACGGGAGGCAGCAGUGGGGAAUAUUGGACAAUGGGCGAAAGCCUGAUCCAGCAAUGCCGCGUGAGUGAUGAAGGCCUUAGGGUUGUAAAGCUCUUUUACCCGGGAUGAUAAUGACAGUACCGGGAGAAUAAGCCCCGGCUAACUCCGUGCCAGCAGCCGCGGUAAUACGGAGGGGGCUAGCGUUGUUCGGAAUUACUGGGCGUAAAGCGCACGUAGGCGGCUUUGUAAGUUAGAGGUGAAAGCCUGGAGCUCAACUCC